UUGUAGCAUGUAUUUAAAUGCUUCAUGUCCCCUUUCAUCUGCCACCCUCAUUUUCCAACUUCCUUCAUUUUGCUCAACUCAAAGAGAACUCAAAACUCUUCUUUAUUUCUUCCCCAAAAAACAAUUAAGGAACUCUAGCUUUUUGUCUCCUUUUCCUCUCUUUCUCUCUCUCUACAACACCACAUACACAAGAUUAUCAUCAUAAACUAAAUAGUCAACUACAUGAUGCACAAAUUUAUCUCCUAUUCUAUUCUACUUCUCCUCCUUGGCCUCUCUCUUCCGAGAACAUCCACUCGUCUACUGGAACUUAAGCACAAAGAUGAGCAAAAUCAUCCAAUCCCGACUGAAGUUUCAUUUCCGAAGUUAGAAGACAAAGAUUCCAUAGAUGAGUUGAUGGGAUUAGAGAUUUGUGGGAAUGGAGAUGAGGAGUGCUUGAAGAGAAGAAUGGUUUCAGAAGUUCACUUGGACUACAUUUACACUCAGCAUCACAAGCCAUAAAAGUGUAAUUUAUGGAGCGUAUUAGCUAAUUUUAUGACUUAAACAUAAAUACUUUAAUUAGAAUAUAGAUUAGUUUGUGAAAAUUUUUAACCUCUGUUAUACAAAGAUGGUUAAUUCAGGUAAAAAGCUAAGGGUUUCAAUGGUUUCAUGGAUUUUUCCUCUUGUGAAAAACUAGAGGAUUUUUUUUUCCAGGAAACUGAUGUAUAAUAAUUAAUAGCCCUUAUUUUAUUAAUUAAUCUAUUUAGUACAUCCACGGGCCAACCUAUGUAGCCCCAUGGUAGGCAUUGAACAGCCGCAUCCCUAUUUUCUUAGGAAAAAUAUUUUAAAAUUUGACUUUAUAGAUGAUUAU
This is a long non-coding RNA of Chenopodium quinoa (quinoa), 847 nucleotides long. RefSeq lists it as uncharacterized. NCBI's taxonomy places the organism in Eukaryota, Viridiplantae, Streptophyta, Magnoliopsida, Caryophyllales, Amaranthaceae. The transcript has 2 exons. The record is from RefSeq and is a predicted model, not a curated record.